CAGCCGCCGCGGUAAUACGUAGGGUGCGAGCGUUAAUCGGAAUUACUGGGCGUAAAGCGUGCGCAGGCUGUUCUGUAAGUCAGAUGUGAAAUCCCCGAGCUCAACUUGGGAACUGCGUUUGAAACUACAGGACUAGAAUAUGUCAGAGGGGGGUAGAAUUCCACGUGUAGCAGUGAAAUGCGUAGAGAUGUGGAGGAAUACCAAUGGCGAAGGCAGCCCCCUGGGAUAAUAUUGACGCUCAUGCACGAAAGCGUGGGGAGCAAACAGG
This 268-nucleotide ribosomal RNA is filed under the name uncultured prokaryote. RNAcentral describes it as "partial 16S ribosomal RNA". It matches the Rfam family "Bacterial small subunit ribosomal RNA", at positions 509 to 776 of the family's 1533-position model. The record is from RNAcentral.